RNAcentral lists this ribosomal RNA (203 nucleotides) under uncultured bacterium. Its description in RNAcentral is "partial 16S ribosomal RNA". It matches the Rfam family "Bacterial small subunit ribosomal RNA", at positions 524 to 720 of the family's 1533-position model. The record is from RNAcentral.
GACAGAGGUGCCAAGCGUUAGGCGGAAUCACUGGGCUUAAAGCGUGUGUAGGCGGAAUGGUAAGUACCUUGUGAAAUCCCACGGCUCAACCGUGGAACUGCUGGGUAUACUGCUUUUUCUUGAGCCACUUAGGGGGCUGUCGAAAACAAAACGGUGGAGCGGUGAAAAUGCGUAGAUAUCGUUUUGGAACGCCAAUGGUGAAA